This 273-nucleotide ribosomal RNA is filed under the name uncultured bacterium. RNAcentral describes it as "partial 16S ribosomal RNA". It matches the Rfam family "Bacterial small subunit ribosomal RNA", at positions 524 to 796 of the family's 1533-position model. The record is from RNAcentral.
UACGGGGGGGGCAAGCGUUGUUCGGAAUUACUGGGCGUAAAGGGCUCGUAGGCGGCCAACUAAGUCAGACGUGAAAUCCCUCGGCUCAACCGGGGAACUGCGUCUGAUACUGGAUGGCUUGAAUCCGGGAGAGGGAUGCGGAAUUCCAGGUGUAGCGGUGAAAUGCGUAGAUAUCUGGAGGAACACCGGUGGCGAAGGCGGCAUCCUGGACCGGCAUUGACGCUGAGGAGCGAAAGCCAGGGGAGCAAACGGGAUUAGAUACCCCCGUAGUCC